GUGAGGAAUUUUCCGCAAUGGGCGAAAGUCUGACGGAGCAAUGCCGCGUGAAGGAUGAAGGCCUAUGGGUUGUAAACUUCUUUUCUCAGAAAAGAAUUAUGACGGUAUCUGAGGAAUAAGCAUCGGCUAACUCUGUGCCAGCAGCCGCGGUAAGACAGAGGAUGCAAGCGUUAUCCGGAAUGAUUGGGCGUAAAGCGGCGGUAGGUUGUUUAAAAAGUAUUCUGUCAAAGAUUAGGGCUUAACCCUAGAUAGGCAGAAUAAACUUUUAAGCUAGAGUUUGGUAGAGGCAGAGGGAAUUCCCGGUGGAGCGGUGAAAUGCGUAGAUAUCGGGAGGAACACCAAAGGCGAAGGCACUCUGCUGGGCCAAUACUAACACUGAGAUACGAAAGCGAGGGUAGCAAACAGGAUUAGAUACCCCAGUAGUCC
RNAcentral lists this ribosomal RNA (426 nucleotides) under uncultured bacterium. Its description in RNAcentral is "partial 16S ribosomal RNA". It matches the Rfam family "Bacterial small subunit ribosomal RNA", at positions 354 to 796 of the family's 1533-position model. The record is from RNAcentral.